CAGUCGCCGCGGUAAUACGUAGGUCCCGAGCGUUGUCCGGAUUUAUUGGGCGUAAAGCGAGCGCAGGCGGUUAGAUAAGUCUGAAGUUAAAGGCUGUGGCUUAACCAUAGUACGCUUUGGAAACUGUUUAACUUGAGUGCAAGAGGGGAGAGUGGAAUUCCAUGUGUAGCGGUGAAAUGCGUAGAUAUAUGGAGGAACACCGGUGGCGAAAGCGGCUCUCUGGUCUGUAACUGACGCUGAGGCUCGAAAGCGUGGGGAGCAAACAGGAUUAGAUACCCCCGUAGUCCCUGUCUCUUAUACA
RNAcentral lists this ribosomal RNA (301 nucleotides) under uncultured bacterium. RNAcentral's name for it is "partial 16S ribosomal RNA". It matches the Rfam family "Bacterial small subunit ribosomal RNA", at positions 509 to 808 of the family's 1533-position model. The record is from RNAcentral.